RNAcentral lists this long non-coding RNA (357 nucleotides) under Salmo salar (Atlantic salmon). Its description in RNAcentral is "lncRNA (ENSSSAG00000090522.1)". The record is from RNAcentral. Lineage: Eukaryota; Metazoa; Chordata; Actinopteri; Salmoniformes; Salmonidae.
CCCUCCUCUCAGGUCCAUGAGAACAGAACUACCCUCCUCUAAGGUCCAUGAGAAGAACAGAACUACCCCUCCUCUCAGGUCCAUGAGAAAACAGAACUACCCCCCUCCUCUCAGGUCCAUGAGAACAGAACUACCCCUCCUCUCAGGUCCAUGAGAACAGAACUACCCCUCCUCUCAGGUCCAUGAGAACAGAACUACCCCUCCUCUUAGGUCCAUGAGAAGAACAGAACUACCCCUCCUCUCAGGUCCAAGAGAACAGAACUACCCCCCUCUCAGGUCCAUGAGAAUAACAGAACUCCCCCUCCUCUCAGGUCCAUGAGAAGAACAGAACUACCCCUCCUCUCAGGUCCAUGAGAA